This is a long non-coding RNA of Etheostoma cragini (Arkansas darter), 583 nucleotides long. RefSeq lists it as uncharacterized. Lineage: Eukaryota; Metazoa; Chordata; Actinopteri; Perciformes; Percidae. The record is from RefSeq and is a predicted model, not a curated record. The transcript has 4 exons.
CAAAAUUUCAGCAAAAGUCUUCAUAGAUAAAUUGUGUAUCGACAAACGCCCCUGUAGGUUGGUCUUGGUACUGCACCCCCUCAUUAAUAAUUCACACAAUGUGUAAAAUUUCAGAGCUUUUGAUUGGCUGUCAGCCGGAAGGUCCACAUAAUACUGCGUUUUAUCAGGAAAGCAGUGUAUUCUACAAUUAAUAAUACAGUAUCAUGUGAGCCAGCAUUGGCACCUGCACCUGCCUGUGUGAAGAGAGGAGAUCAAGAGGGAGUCAGCAUGUCUGUAAUGAGGCCACAGAGAGCUAAGCUUAAGCCUAAAGAAGAGGCAUCUUAUUUGUCAUCAUUGGGAAAGGACAAGGAUGGAUUUACUAUAAAAUAUAUUAAUUCAUUCAAAGGUCGAGGAGUGUUUAGUUGCCGCCACUUUCAGAAAGGAGACUUUCUCAUAGAAUAUCGACGGGAAGUCUUAAGCAAAAAGGAGUAUGAGUACCGACUAAGACUGUACCAUGAUGCUCUGAUGGUUGAAUUAUACUACAAUGGGGAAAAAACUAUGUGUUGAUGCAGCAAAGGAGGAUGACUCCUUGGGCAGACUUGUC